Sander lucioperca (pikeperch) is the source of this 2269-nucleotide RNA transcript. It is a transcript of the gene named probable serine/threonine-protein kinase cdc7, with no coding region annotated. The transcript is spliced from 7 exons. The record is from RefSeq and is a predicted model, not a curated record. Lineage: Eukaryota; Metazoa; Chordata; Actinopteri; Perciformes; Percidae.
ACAAUUGGUGUGUCAACUACAACCGAAGGUUCAACAACAACAGGUGAAUCAACAACUGAUGCAUCAACUACAACUGGGGAUUCAAUAACAACAGGUGGAGGUUCAACAACAACAGAAGGCUCCACCGCAACUGAUGGAUCAACUACAACUGGUGGUUCAACAAUUGGUGUGUCAACUACAACCGAAGGUUCAACAACAACAGGUGAAUCAACAACUGAUGCAUCAACUACAACUGGGGAUUCAAUAACAACAGGUGGAGGUUCAACAACUGGAGAAUCCACAACAACUGGAGGCUCAACUACAAAUGGAGGGUCCACAGCUACAACAACAGCUGGUUUAUCAUCAUCAACUGGAGGUCCAACAACAAGUGGAUCAACCUUAACUGGAGUUUCAACUACAACUGGAGAUUCAAUAGCAUCAAGUGGAUCAAUGGCAACAACUGCAGGGUCUACAACACCUAUAACUGAAGGUUCAACAACAACAGGUGGAUCAACUACAACUGGAGAUUCCACAACAAUAGGUGGAUCAACAACAACUGGAUAUCCAACGACAACAAUUGGAGGUUCAACUACUGAAGAAUCCACAACUGGAAGUUCAACUCCAACUGCAGGGUCAGCAAUAACAGCAUCAACAACUGAUGUUUCAUCAACAACUAUUGUUACAACUGGUGCAUCAACUACAACUGAAGGUUUAACAACAACAGGUGGAUCAACUGCAACAACUGCAGGGUCUACAACAACUGGUGCAUCAACUACAACUGAAGGUUUAACAACAACAGGUGGAUCAACUGCAACAACUGCAGGGUCUACAACAACUGGUGCAUUAACAGCAACUGGAGAAUCAACAACAACAGGAGGUUUAACUACAACUGGAGGGUCCACAGAAACAACAACAACUGGUGAAUCAACAACAACAAAUGUAGGUUCAACAACAACUGGGGGACCAACAACAACUGGUGGGUCAACUGCAACCGGUGUGUCAGCGACAACUGGAGGUUCAACAACAGCAACUGCUGGGUCAACUACAAUUGAAGGUUCAACUACAACUGGCUUGUUAACAACUGAUGCAUCAACUACAACUGGGGAUUCAAUAACAACAGGUGGAGGUUCAACAACUAGAGAAUCCACAACUGGAGGCUCGACUACAAAUGGAGGAUCGACAGCUACAACAACAGCUGGUUUAUCAUCAUCAACUGGAGGUUCAACAACAACAAGUGGAUCAACUGCUACUGGAAGUUCAACUACAACUGGGCAUUCAACAAUUAGUGGAUCAACUACAAGUGGAGGAUCAACAACAACAGCUGGAGGUUCAACUACUGCUGAAUCCAUCAACUGCAGCAUUUACAAGUCGAGCCUCAAUAAUAAAGUCAACACUUGAACCUUUCUACCAAAAAGCAUUUUCUUCAUUCCGCUUCUUGAAGGUGAUUUCAUUCAGUAGUGGAUCAAUCAUCAACAACUUGGCCCUUACAUUUUCAUCCACAUCCAUUCCUAAUAACACUCAGAUUGGAAAUGUUUUGGUAAGGGCAGCUUCAAACAUAACAGCUUUCAACGUUGACACCACCUCCAUUUCUGUGGAUGGCACACAAGUUUCAAGUGGAGUAAGCCACAAGAUCAGUCUCAUCACUGCAUCCUUCCUUGUAAUACUGUCAUGGCUACUGUCAAGCCAGCAAUAGUGCAGCGGUUAUGCCCAUGUGAAAUACCAUUAAGAAAAAGACUUCUAUUACUGAUAUAAAAAGGACUUUGCUCCCAUUAAAAAUUCAAGAGGACUUCUGAUGAUCACAAUAUUUGGCUUGGAAAGAACUUCCAGAUAUUACACACAUUGAUAAUGGAUGUUGGUUGCAAUGGCACAUCAAUUCAACUUUGACAGGACAGACCAUUACUGGAACUUUUCCUUAUUUAUUAAAGAGAGACAACUUUAAGCACUUGGCCCACUGAAGAAAAUAGUCAUCACUGUAAUGAAUGGCUUAAAAAUGAGAGUAACAUGACAAUUGAAACCUUGUAUAUCAGACACACCAUUACACACCACGUAAACUGUUCACUAUGUUUAAAUUAUUGUGCUAUGAUAACAUGAUGUAGAAAAAAUAACAUUUAAAUUGAACACAAUGCCCUGUAUGAUUAUCCAGUCACUUUUCUUAUUUAAAUGUAUUUAUACUAUCAUACAUAUGUGUAUUCUGUGAGCUUACCUGUAUUUUUGUACAACUUGAGUAAAAAAAUUGGUCUUUGUGAUGAUCAGGAUACACUAAUAAUAAAAAACGGUCUAUUCUAUGUCA